Pelmatolapia mariae (spotted tilapia) is the source of this 722-nucleotide long non-coding RNA. RefSeq lists it as uncharacterized. NCBI's taxonomy places the organism in Eukaryota, Metazoa, Chordata, Actinopteri, Cichliformes, Cichlidae. The transcript is spliced from 3 exons. The record is from RefSeq and is a predicted model, not a curated record.
ACUAAGUUUUCAUGGCUUUCCGACCCAUUCCGACUUGAGAAGACAAUGGCUGGUAAACAUACGCCGGGAUCAUUUCACGAUUACCUCUCACACCAGGGUCUGCAGCAGACACUUUGCCAGUGAUCAACUCAUAGAGCCAACAACCCUUGAUGGUCGAAGGCGGCUUAUUAAAGGGGCUGUACCAACACUUUUUGAGUGGAAUGGCUAUAAAGUUGAACCACCGCGGCGUAGUGUUUGGGAGAGAACGGAGCGACGCCCUGAACUAGUUCCUCCUGACGAUCAAGAAGAGCACAGUCUUACAAGAGAUCAUGACUACUGCUCAGUCCCUGAGCCGUCUGCAUUGGACAUAUCUGCAUCAGCUGCAGAAGACCUGUCCAAAGACGUGGAGACUCUGAGGAAGGAAAUACAGGAGUUACGUGUCCAGCGAGAAUUUGGGUUACAGCGUUUUGCUGGCUCCGACACUGACAUCCGAUUCUAUACCAGAUUUCCAAGCUAUGAUCAUUUGAUGGCAUUUUGGUUUUUGAUUGAGCCUUGCAUCUAUAAAAUGAUCCGGGUUUCAAGAGCCAAAUCAGCUGCCAAUAGGAACGAAGAAGUGUUGACACCUGCACGCACAUCAACGAGGCAGCUGCUACAGCCAAUUGACGAGUUCUUUCUUUUCCUGGUUUUCCUGUCAGUUGGUUUGAAGGAGAGGGACCUGGCACACCGAUUUAACAUACACCAGU